This 492-nucleotide ribosomal RNA is filed under the name uncultured bacterium. RNAcentral describes it as "partial 16S ribosomal RNA". It matches the Rfam family "Bacterial small subunit ribosomal RNA", at positions 28 to 507 of the family's 1533-position model. The record is from RNAcentral.
GAUGAACGCUAGCUACAGGCUUAACACAUGCAAGUCGAGGGGAAACGGCAUCGAAAGCUUGCUUUUGAUGGGCGUCGACCGGCGCACGGGUGAGUAACGCGUAUCCAACCUGCCCAUCACUUGGGAAUAGCCUUGCGAAAGUAAGACUAAUGCCCAAUGACAUCCCACGAAGGCAUCCGAAUGGGAUUAAAGAUUUAUCGGUGAUGGAUGGGGAUGCGUCUGAUUAGCUUGUUGGCGGGGUGACGGCCCACCAAGGCAACGAUCAGUAGGGGUUCUGAGAGGAAGGUCCCCCACAUUGGAAGUGAGACACGGUCCAAACUCCUACGGGAGGCAGCAGGGAGGAAUAUUGGUCAAGGGGCGAGAGCCUGAACCAGCCAAGUAGUGUGCAGGAUGACGGCCCUAUGGGUUGUAAACUGCUUUUAUAAGGGAAUAAAGUGGGUCACGUGUGACUUUUCACAUGUACCUUAUGAAUAAGGACCGGCUAAUUCCGUG